ACCAGUACCGUGAGGGAAAGGCGAAAAGAACCCCGGCGAGGGGAGUGAAAAAGAACCUGAAACCGUGUACGUACAAGCAGUGGGAGCACGCUUAGGCGUGUGACUGCGUACCUUUUGUAUAAUGGGUCAGCGACUUAUAUUCUGUAGCAAGGUUAACCGAAUAGGGGAGCCGAAGGGAAACCGAGUCUUAACUGGGCGUUAAGUUGCAGGGUAUAGACCCGAAACCCGGUGAUCUAGCCAUGGGCAGGUUGAAGGUUGGGUAACACUAACUGGAGGACCGAACCGACUAAUGUUGAAAAAUUAGCGGAUGACUUGUGGCUGGGGGUGAAAGGCCAAUCAAACCGGGAGAUAGCUGGUUCUCCCCGAAAGCUAUUUAGGUAGCGCCUCGUGAAUUCAUCUCCGGGGGUAGAGCACUGUUUCGGCAAGGGGGUCAUCCCGACUUACCAACCCGAUGCAAACUGCGAAUACCGGAGAAUGUUAUCACGGGAGACACACGGCGGGUGCUAACGUCCGUCGUGAAGAGGGAAACAACCCAGACCGCCAGCUAAGGUCCCAAAGUCAUGGUUAAGUGGGAAACGAUGUGGGAAGGCCCAGACAGCCAGGAUGUUGGCUUAGAAGCAGCCAUCAUUUAAAGAAAGCGUAAUAGCUCACUGGUCGAGUCGGCCUGCGCGGAAGAUGUAACGGGGCUAAACCAUGCACCGAAGCUGCGGCAGCGACGCUGAUGCGUUGUUGGGUAGGGGAGCGUUCUGUAAGCCUGCGAAGGUGUGCUGUGAGGCAUGCUGGAGGUAUCAGAAGUGCGAAUGCUGACAUAAGUAACGAUAAAGCGGGUGAAAAGCCCGCUCGCCGGAAGACCAAGGGUUCCUGUCCAACGUUAAUCGGGGCAGGGUGAGUCGACCCCUAAGGCGAGGCCGAAAGGCGUAGUCGAUGGGAAACAGGUUAAUAUUCCUGUACUUGGUGUUACUGCGAAGGGGGGACGGAGAAGGCUAUGUUGGCCGGGCGACGGUUGUCCCGGUUUAAGCGUGUAGGCUGGUUUUCCAGGCAAAUCCGGAAAAUCAAGGCUGAGGCGUGAUGACGAGGCACUACGGUGCUGAAGCAACAAAUGCCCUGCUUCCAGGAAAAGCCUCUAAGCAUCAGGUAACAUCAAAUCGUACCCCAAACCGACACAGGUGGUCAGGUAGAGAAUACCAAGGCGCUUGAGAGAACUCGGGUGAAGGAACUAGGCAAAAUGGUGCCGUAACUUCGGGAGAAGG
Molecule: ribosomal RNA, 1250 nt
Filed under: Escherichia coli
Lineage: Bacteria; Pseudomonadati; Pseudomonadota; Gammaproteobacteria; Enterobacterales; Enterobacteriaceae
Description: partial 23S ribosomal RNA
Rfam family: Bacterial large subunit ribosomal RNA
Source: RNAcentral